UUGGAGGGCAAGUCUGGUGCCAGCAGCCGCGGUAAUUCCAGCUCCAAUAGCGUAUAUUAAAGUUGUUGCAGUUAAAAAGCUCGUAGUUGAAUUUCGGGGUUCUACCGUUGGUCGGGCUUUGUCUGUACUGGUGUGUAGAAUUUCUACCUUCUGGGGAACCAUCAUGCUAUUAAUUUAGCGUGGUGGGAAGCCAGGACCUUUACCUUGAAAAAAUUAGUGUGUUCAAAGCAGGCUUAUGUCUGAAUACAUUAGCGUGGAAUAAUAGAAUAGGACGGUGGUCCUGUUUUGUUGGUUUCUGAAUCACCGUAAUGAUUAAUAGGGAUAGUUGGGGGCAUUAGUAUUCAAUUGUCAGAGGUGAAAUUCUUGGAUUUAUUGAAGACUAACUUCUGCGAAAGCAUUUGCCAAGGAUGUUUUCAUUAAUCAAGAACGAAAGUUAGGGGAUCGAAGACGAUCAGAUACCGUCGUAGUCUUAACCAUAAACUAUGCCGACUAGGGAUCGGACGAUGUUAAUUUUUUAAUGACUCGUUCGGCGCCUACGGGAAAC
RNAcentral lists this ribosomal RNA (544 nucleotides) under uncultured Glomeromycotina. RNAcentral's name for it is "SSU rRNA". It matches the Rfam family "Eukaryotic small subunit ribosomal RNA", at positions 548 to 1098 of the family's 1831-position model. Lineage: Eukaryota; Fungi; Glomeromycota. The record is from RNAcentral.